This 309-nucleotide unclassified non-coding RNA is filed under the name Zanthoxylum esquirolii. RNAcentral describes it as "partial external transcribed spacer". The record is from RNAcentral. Lineage: Eukaryota; Viridiplantae; Streptophyta; Magnoliopsida; Sapindales; Rutaceae.
UGUUGCUUACCCACUUAGAGGAAUUCGAUGGCUUUGGUGCCCCCAUCCUCCUUACGCCCUUCGGGGUGUGGGGUGGACGCGAGGCGGGCUCCGUGUUCCCCGCGUGUCGAGUGCAUUGACACUCGUCCGUUGUGGCCCAUGGGGUCUCGGCCCGUGCUCUCGGAUGCGGAAUGUUGUGUGGGCGUGGGGUCUCGGCCUCUGUUCGUCCAAGCUACACGCAUUGUCCCUUGACAUGAAUGACCGUCGCGCUCGUCUUGAUCGGUCGACCGAGCCCCCAUCACGGGGCUCCGGGAGGGCGGCUCAUGCGAG